AUAACAUCAGGAGAACAAGAAAAAACUGUUAAGAAAUCUUCCUUCUACAUCAGGCAGUAAUACAAAUGCGUCAAUGAUUCCCCUACCUUGCAUCCUUGGCUGAUGGUAGAUG
Molecule: long non-coding RNA, 112 nt
Organism: Xenopus laevis (African clawed frog)
Lineage: Eukaryota; Metazoa; Chordata; Amphibia; Anura; Pipidae
Exons: 2
Source: RefSeq, a predicted model, not a curated record